RNAcentral lists this ribosomal RNA (253 nucleotides) under uncultured bacterium. Its description in RNAcentral is "partial 16S ribosomal RNA". It matches the Rfam family "Bacterial small subunit ribosomal RNA", at positions 524 to 776 of the family's 1533-position model. The record is from RNAcentral.
UACGUAGGGCGCAAGCGUUAUCCGGAAUUAUUGGGCGUAAAGAGCUCGUAGGCGGUCUGUCGCGUCGGCUGUGAAAUCCCGAGGCUCAACCUCGGGUCUGCAGUCGAUACGGGCAAACUGGAGUACUGCAGGGGAGACUGGAAUUCCUGGUGUAGCGGUGAAAUGCGCAGAUAUCAGGAGGAACACCGGUGGCGAAGGCGGGUCUCUGGGCAGUAACUGACGCUGAGGUGCGAAAGCGUGGGGAGCAAACAGG